This 2097-nucleotide small RNA is filed under the name Pongo abelii (Sumatran orangutan). RNAcentral's name for it is "retained intron". The record is from RNAcentral. Lineage: Eukaryota; Metazoa; Chordata; Mammalia; Primates; Hominidae.
UGAGACUUUCAGCUCAGUCAUUUCCCUGUUGAAUGAGGAUCCCCUGCCCCAGGACUUGCCUGUGAAGAUGGCUUCAAUCUUCAAGAACUUUGUCAUUACCUAUAACCGGACAUAUGAGUCAAAGGAAGAAGCCCGGUGGCGCCUGUCCAUCUUUGUCAAUAACAUGGUGCGAGCACAGAAGAUCCAGGCCCUGGACCGUGGCACAGCUCAGUAUGGAGUCACCAAGUUCAGUGAUCUCACAGAGGAGGAGUUCCGCACUAUCUACCUGAAUCCUCUCCUGAGAGAAGAGCCUAGCAACAAGAUGAAGCAAGCCAAGUCUGUGGGUGACCUCGCCCCACCUGAAUGGGACUGGAGGAGUAAGGGGGCUGUCACAAAAGUCAAAGACCAGGGCAUGUGUGGCUCCUGCUGGGCCUUCUCAGUCACAGGCAAUGUGGAAGGCCAGUGGUUUCUGAACCAGGGGACCCUACUCUCCCUCUCUGAACAGGGUGAGCAUCUCGCUCUAUCCCUGUGUCCUCAGCCUAGCCCCUCAGGAGGGCUUCUUGGGACCAGCCUUCUGUCUCCUAGAGCUCUUGGACUGUGACAAGAUGGACAAGGCCUGCAUGGGCGGCUUGCCCUCCAACGCCUACUCGGCCAUAAAGAAUUUGGGAGGGCUGGAGACAGAGGAUGACUACAGCUACCAGGGUCACAUGCAGUCCUGCAACUUCUCAGCAGAGAAGGCCAAGGUCUACAUCAAUGACUCCGUGGAGCUGAGCCAGAAUGAGCAGAGUGAGUGAGGGGCGGGGUGAGGUGAGGUGAGGUGGGGCCGGGGCCUGGGUGCCUACUGAUGCCACCCCUUCCCAUCUCAGAGCUGGCAGCCUGGCUGGCCAAGAGAGGCCCAAUCUCCGUGGCCAUCAAUGCCUUUGGCAUGCAGUUUUACCGCCAUGGGAUCUCCCGCCCUCUCCGGCCCCUCUGCAGCCCUUGGCUCAUUGACCACGCGGUAUUGCUUGUGGGCUACGGCAACCGUGAGUUCCGCUGCCUGUCCUGCAUCCUGCCAGGCCACAGGCAGGGGUGGGAUCACAGCAUCUCAGGUCCUCUAGAGGGGAAAUAGGGGGAAUGCCUAGGAACCCUGUCCUUACCCACUGCCUGGGCCAUGACCAGGUGGGCAUCAUCUGUCCUCUCUAUGGAAGGGAAGCUGAGCUGUGGGAGGGUAAAUACUGAUGGCCCAAUAACCUGCAAGAGGCGGGUGGGUGGGUGCUUCCUCCCUCCCCCAGGGCUUCUCCCUGAGGCUGGUAGGCGGGCCCCUCGCUUUCUGCUCUUUUCCUAGUCCCUGUCACACAGUAGGCCCAGUGCAAGUAUUUGAAGGGUGCAAAGUGAUUAAGGCUCUGCCUGGAGAAUUAAGGACCCUCAUCCUUGCGCUCUGCACUGCACCCCAGGCUCUGACGUUCCCUUUUGGGCCAUCAAGAACAGCUGGGGCACUGACUGGGGCGAGAAGGUGAGUCUUGCCGGCUUGGCCCCUGGCCCUCCAGCCGCCAUCCUACACCGGUGCCCUCACCAGCUCCCCCUCUCCCCCAGGGUUACUACUACUUGCAUCGCGGGUCCGGGGCCUGUGGUGUGAACACCAUGGCCAGCUCAGCGGUGGUGGACUGAGGAGGGGCCCCCAGCUCAGGACCUGGUGCUGAUCAGAGUGGCCGCUGCCCCAGCCUGACGUGUCCAGGCCCCUCCCCGGGAGGUACAGCUGGCAGAGGGACAGGCACUGGGUACCUCAGGGUGAGCAGAGGCACUGGGUGGGGCACAGCCCCUGCUUCCCUGCACCCCACUCCCACCCUGAAGUUCUGCACCUGCACCUGCACCUUUGUUGAAUUGUGGUAGCUUAGGAGGAUGUCAGGGUGAAGGGUGGUAUCUUGGCAGUUGAAGCUGGGGCAAGAACUCUGGGCUCGGGUAAUGAGCAGGAAGAAAAUGUUCUGAUCUUAAGCCCCAGCUCUGUUCUGCCCCGCUUUCCUCUGUUUGAUACUAUAAAUUUUCUGGUUCCCUUGGAUUUAGGGAUAGUAUCCCCCUCCAUGUCCAGGAAACUUGUAACUACCCUUUUCUAACAGCAAUAAAGAGGUGUCCUUGUCUCCA